This 992-nucleotide ribosomal RNA is filed under the name Enterobacter sp. Its description in RNAcentral is "bacterial SSU rRNA". It matches the Rfam family "Bacterial small subunit ribosomal RNA", at positions 56 to 1041 of the family's 1533-position model. Lineage: Bacteria; Pseudomonadati; Pseudomonadota; Gammaproteobacteria; Enterobacterales; Enterobacteriaceae. The record is from RNAcentral.
UGCAGUCGACGGUAGCACAGAGAGCUUGCUCUCGGGUGACGAGUGGCGGACGGGUGAGUAAUGUCUGGGAAACUGCCUGAUGGAGGGGGAUAACUACUGGAAACGGUAGCUAAUACCGCAUAACGUCGCAAGACCAAAGAGGGGGACCUUCGGGCCUCUUGCCAUCAGAUGUGCCCAGAUGGGAUUAGCUAGUAGGUGGGGUAACGGCUCACCUAGGCGACGAUCCCUAGCUGGUCUGAGAGGAUGACCAGCCACACUGGAACUGAGACACGGUCCAGACUCCUACGGGAGGCAGCAGUGGGGAAUAUUGCACAAUGGGCGCAAGCCUGAUGCAGCCAUGCCGCGUGUAUGAAGAAGGCCUUCGGGUUGUAAAGUACUUUCAGCGGGGAGGAAGGUGUUGUGGUUAAUAACCGCAGCAAUUGACGUUACCCGCAGAAGAAGCACCGGCUAACUCCGUGCCAGCAGCCGCGGUAAUACGGAGGGUGCAAGCGUUAAUCGGAAUUACUGGGCGUAAAGCGCACGCAGGCGGUCUGUCAAGUCGGAUGUGAAAUCCCCGGGCUCAACCUGGGAACUGCAUUCGAAACUGGCAGGCUAGAGUCUUGUAGAGGGGGGUAGAAUUCCAGGUGUAGCGGUGAAAUGCGUAGAGAUCUGGAGGAAUACCGGUGGCGAAGGCGGCCCCCUGGACAAAGACUGACGCUCAGGUGCGAAAGCGUGGGAAGCAAACAGGAUUAGAUACCCUGGUAGUCCACGCCGUAAACGAUGUCGAUUUGGAGGUUGUGCCCUUGAGGCGUGGCUUCCGGAGCUAACGCGUUAAAUCGACCGCCUGGGGAGUACGGCCGCAAGGUUAAAACUCAAAUGAAUUGACGGGGGCCCGCACAAGCGGUGGAGCAUGUGGUUUAAUUCGAUGCAACGCGAAGAACCUUACCUGGUCUUGACAUCCACAGAACUUUCCAGAGAUGGAUUGGUGCCUUCGGGAACUGUGAGACAGGUGC